GACGAACGCUGGCGGCGCGCCUAACACAUGCAAGUCGAACGAGAGAUGAGGAGCUUGCUCUUCAAAUCGAGUGGCGAACGGGUGAGUAACGCGUGAGGAACCUGCCUUGAAGAGGGGGACAACAGUUGGAAACGACUGCUAAUACCGCAUGACGCAUAGAGGUCGCAUGAUCUUUAUGCCAAAGAUUUAUCGCUUCAAGAUGGCCUCGCGUCUGAUUAGCUGGUUGGCGGGGUAACGGCCCACCAAGGCGACGAUCAGUAGCCGGACUGAGAGGUUGAACGGCCACAUUGGGACUGAGACACGGCCCAGACUCCUACGGGAGGCAGCGGUGGGGAAUAUUGCACAAUGGGGGAAACCCUGAUGCAGCGACGCCGCGUGAGUGAUGAAGUAUUUCGGUAUGUAAAACUCUAUCAGCAGGGAAGAUAAUGACGGUACUGACUAAGAAGCACCGGCUAAAUACGUG
RNAcentral lists this ribosomal RNA (463 nucleotides) under uncultured bacterium. RNAcentral's name for it is "bacterial SSU rRNA". It matches the Rfam family "Bacterial small subunit ribosomal RNA", at positions 28 to 507 of the family's 1533-position model. The record is from RNAcentral.